This 4432-nucleotide long non-coding RNA is filed under the name Nicotiana tabacum (common tobacco). RNAcentral's name for it is "long non-coding RNA (NTAB_LNC002368)". Lineage: Eukaryota; Viridiplantae; Streptophyta; Magnoliopsida; Solanales; Solanaceae. The record is from RNAcentral.
AAAAUUGUCAUUUUGCUCAAAGGAAAAAGUGCCUUCCAUCAUUUUUGACACACACGACAGAGUCUAGAAUCUGCUCUCGUCUUCCGUCUCUUCUAUUCCAACCGAUGGAGGAGUUUCAGUUCGCCUUCUUCAAACUUUCAACAAUACUCGUAGCUCUUUUCGUCUUCUUAUCUAUCUAUUAGAUUUCAGGCAUUAUUCGCUCAAUCCUUGCUCGCAUCUUCUUUGUUUUCUCUUUGUCUUCUUUUCUUUCUUUGCUACUUUUAGAUCUAUUUAACUGUUUUCAAUUUCAUGGAUAAAUUUCCUUGGAUUUUGUAUUUUCCAACCAGAUGAUGCGGAAUUACCAUUUUAAGGGCUAUUCUCCGUCCAAUUUCAUUGAUGUUGCCUUCUUCUUGCUGAUUCACCUCUAUCUCUUCUUCUUCAUAAGGUAUUGAAAUUUAUUGUUCUACUAACUUAAAACAAAAAGGAUAUUUAAUUUUACUCCUAAUUCAUGUUGUUCUUCCUUUUCUUUACAUUUUUUGUAUAUGUUAUAUUUCUAUGAAUUGUGAAUCGCGAGUAUGUUUUCAGGCUCUUCUUAACUGCCUCUGCGCACACCCCUCACUCUCCAUAGCCGAGGAAAAGAACAGUAAGAACUCAUGAUAACCUAAUUUUGAUAAAGCACUAAAAUUGGUGUAUGGGUUGAGAUUGAAAUAAAGUGAAUGAAUUAAGUCAAAUGGCUAUUGGGAAAAAUUUAUGCAUAUAAAUUUCUAUUGACAGAUUUUAUUCAUUAUUUCAUGUCUUAGGAAUGCUUAAUUAGGCUUAAGAUGAUUUGGGAACUUUUCUUAAAAGUUGUGUUCGAGCAACAUCUGAUUGUUUAAACUUAAAUUCAUUUAUCUGGCUACAAAUUUAUGGAAUAAGGAAGGUAUGUUAAAGGGCAUGUAAUGGGAUUGCUUUAUAUGAUGACUCAUUGUUGUUGAUGGGAUUUGAAAGUAGAGGAAUAUUUAAAAGUAGAGGAGUAGGAAGUAGAGCACCGAGGAUUGAUAAAGAUUGUAUGAAGUUGCAAGACACUAAUGGUCCAGAAAAAGGACGAGAAAAUAGCACAGAUAUCCAAAACUUUAAGAAGCAGACAAGAGGAAUAGAGAUGUAAGGACAUGUAUAAGAGGAUACCUAAGCCAAGGAAGUAGCUUAAUUUUUUUUAUUUUUUUAUUCCUUGUUUAUUGGCAUCCACUGAUACAAUGUGUGUUCAACUAUAAAUUAUAGUUGUUUGUCUUAUUGGAAAUUCUCAUUCACCCAUCUUUAAGCCUAAUUUGUCUUAUUUUCUACUGAUAUGUCCAUGUCUUAUUAUCAACAUAUGUUAUCUUCACCUAUACUUUCUUAUUAUUCUCUACUUUUAUGCAAUUUUAUUAGAAUAUUCUUUAAGUUUGUAUUUUAUUAAGAUAUUUUGUCCAAAAGUAUAAGUGACGGAUGGAUCUUUCCAUCUUGCAUACUUGACUGAUUGAUUCACUUGGUUACUUCUUGACAAUUGGUUUUUUCUCCUGUUAGUUCAGUACCGAAUGCAUAUGGAUUAUCAGGUUUGUAUAUUUAUCAGUGGAAAAUAUUAUUGCAUUCAUAAAUACACUUUGUUUUAACAUAAAUAUAGCAUGUAUUAAAACAUUCUUCCAUGAUGAUUACUUUCAACUUUUACAAAUUAAAACUAUUACAGGAACCUAGAAAAAGGAUUAUUUUCAAGGUCAUGAAAGAGUACUCAAAGGUCCUCCUCCAUCACUUCAAGUGGCAAAGGCUGUGAACUAUUUAACUUGGUACCCUUCUUUUUAUCCAUCAAGGCCUCUACAUGCUGCUCUUUACUUCCUUUUUGGGUGUAAGUUUUUUUUUCUUCAUAUUUAUGUUUAUCAUUGUGAUUAUUGAUGGUAAGGCCCAGCUCUCUUCGCAUUCAGUUUCUUAAAUCAAUUGGUGUGUUUGCUUUUGUGCUUUUAAUUUAUUUCAUCACUUUCAAGUUGUAGUUACAAGUUCAAAGAUCAAUUGAUUUUUUUUUAAUAUUCCGGAACAUAUGAUGACUAAUAGCUUGUUUGGCCAAGCUGCAAAAAUUAACUUAUUUUGAGAAGUGUUUUUUCUCAAAAGUGCUUUUUUCAAAAGUAUUUUUUGGUGAGAAUCAGUUUGUGUUUGGCUAAUUAAUUUGAAAAGCACUUCUGAGCAGCAAUUAGUAUUUGGCCAAGUUUUUAAAAACUGCUUCUAAGUGUAUUUUUCUUAAAAGUGCUUUUCAAAAAAGUGCUUUUGGAGAGAAGCUACUUUUUUCUGCUUCUCCAAAACUGCUUCUGCUUCUCCUCAAAAGCACUUUUCUUUCUUCAAAAAGCUUGGUCAAACACUUUAACUUUGAAAAAAAAGUACUUCUUUUAAAAAGAAAAGUGCUUUUGGCUUUGGAGAAGCUGGGCCAAACAGGCGAUAAGUCUAGCAUUCAAAAACUUUCCUCUUAGUUAGAAAAGGUAGUAUUGUAAUGCAUGAAAUAACUGGUGAUCGAGGAGGUUUUAUAUUCAUACUUUGAAAGUUCUAGCUUUGAUAUUGCCUAUUAUUUGUGGCUACAAGAGUUGCUUUAAUUUUUAUUUGGCUGAAUAGGUAGGGUGAUUUAUGAUACAAUAACAUGUCGUAGUAUGUACACUUUCGGAAAUAAGUACUUCGUAAAAUUGUACUAUUGUUAGGUAUUGAGUUUUAUUUGUGAAUUGAAGUAUAUAACUCUUUCGCACAGUGUAUUAAUACCAUGAGAUAUUUUUCCGUUCUAUGAGUUUAUCUACUAAGAUUAAGGACAAAUAAAAUAAGAAAUCAAGGAUAGUUUUGCAUAAUUAUUGUAGUGUAUUUGGUAACAGUGGCAUGGUAUAACUUUGUUUGUUUCCUUGGUUAUAAGUCUUUGCAAAUUAAAUAUAAUGUACUACAAAUGUAUUUAUAAAAAAGUGCAAUUUAUGCAAAAAGGGUGACAAGAACAAACCAAAAUUUUGAGGAAAAAAAAAAACAUAUUACCUAGGCUGAGUGCCAUUUCAAACAUAAGGUGCUCUUGCAGAUAGAAUAACACAAAAACGUCAUUAUUGUUACUUAGUUGAUCAACCAUUAGAAGUUUGUUGAUUGACCGUUGUUUGGGAAGUUCUAGAAUAAGUACCAUCUUGAGCUAACUAUCUUGAACACAAUUUUAUGUUUGAUUAUAUCUUCUUCAGUAUUUCGUGAACUCUAAAUUAUUUUCAUUGUUGACUCUGGUAGAAAUUGAUUAUUCAUCAAUGGGAGAUUUAAAAGAACCCCAUGACUGAGGUAUGUAUUAGGUCUUGAGCACUACCAGCUUACUCAAUAUAUUUAGAUAUAAAGAAUGUGUUUUAUUGUAAUUGUCUUGAAGAGUUUGUACUUGAAUUAAACUAUCUACUCAGUUUCCUUUCGAUAUUUGACUUAUGGAACUUCAGUUUGAUACUUUAUGUGAUAAAUACAGUCAAUAAAUCAAUCUAUCUAUGUCUUGAAACAGAGAAGAAACUUUUCAAUUAAGGUUUGUGAAGAAAAUGAGAAAAGCAAAGUGGAUCACUUUUUUAUAUUUCCCUUUUCGUGUAUUAGAAAAUUUUAUUAUUGACAAAGACCACACUAAGAUAAUGCUGAGAUGACAUAAAAGAAAUAUUAAUAUCAGUCCAUAUUUAUUCUUGCAGUGAUGACAAAAAAUAUAUCAAUGUAUUUACUUCAUAUCCUUAUAUGUUCUUUAUAACGAAUGAACUUUUUGUGUCACUUAAUAGUCAUAUGAUAUUAAUGUAUCUUUUUCUUUUAUAUGAGGGAAAGUAAAAUGCAUUGACCAACUUUUCUGGACAUCAUUUGCAUUUCACAUAAGUUGUGUCAGCAUUAGCUUAUCAAAGAAAACAUAAGGCUUAGCAUUUUUUCGAUUUUUUCGUUAAUUGUUAGGUGGUUAAAUCUUAAUGAUAGGAAGAUCCUAUACUGUUUUGAUAAAAUAUUAUAUUUGAUGUAUCUUUAGAUUGUAGUAACAGUGUCUUGCUAUAAAAGGCCAUAAUUUGACUCUUGAGUAUAGUAUUUUUCGAGUAGUUUAUUUGUGGUGAUCGCACUUAUCUCUUUAUGUCGUGAUAUUUUUCAAUUCUUGCUAUCAUUUAAUAUUUUCUAUCUCUAAAUAUUUGACUUCUUAUUCUCUACUUGGAAUAGGACAGGUUGUCUGAAGAACACAUAGUAGCAGAUGUAUGAAUGCAAUACACAAAAUAUUUGCCAUACUUUAUGUGGCUCUUAGUUGGACUAUGUUCUCUUUUGUUUAUAGUACAAACACGGAUAGCAACUGAUAUAUUUAGUUGAUCACGUAGCAUAAGAUAGUGGGUAGAAAACGAUGAAGAAAUAAGGCGUACUUGAGCUUGAGUUUGAUUUUGUAAGUAUAUUUAAAGGAAGUUGAAGAAAAGGAAAUAUUUAGCUCAAUUUUGAUAAAUCUAGGGAAGCAAUA